CGGUCGCGCGCUCGUUGCUGUGUGUGAAGUGUGUGUGUGUGGUAUAUGUGUGUGUUUACGAGCGCCGCGAUCCCACGUGCGGCGUGUAUGGAGGCGGCGGCCCGCGCGCGGACUCGGCACCCGGGACGAUGAGCGGCGCGCCGCGCGACCCUUUUUACUCCUCGCCAUUCGGCCCGUUCUACCGGAGGCACGCGCCCACCGCCGCGCAGCCGCAGUACCGCAUCCACGAGCUCAACAAGCGGCUCCAGAGCCGGAGCGAGGAUUGUGAUAUACUAUGGUGGGAUGCAUUUUGCACCGAGUUCUUCGAAGACGAUGCGACAUUAACACUCUCCUUCUGUCUCGAGGAUGGACCAAAGACAUAUACCAUCGGACGGGCGCUGAUCCCCCGUUUCUUCAGCACGCUGUACGAAGGAGGAGUGUACGAGCUGUUUUUCGAGCUCAAGCACACAAAAGAGUCAUUCAACAGCUCAACCAUCACUGUAGACUGCCACCAGUGCACCAUGAUAACACAACACGGCAAGCCCACGUUCACAAAGGUGUGCACAGAGGGCCGUCUGAUUUUGGUGUUCACCUUCGAUGACCUCAUGAGAAUCAAGACGUGGCACUUCACUAUCUCGCACUACAACGAGCUCAUUCCUCGCAGCAUGCUGGCCGUUCAUGCACAAGACCCUGGAGCUCUGGAGCAACUGUCCAAAAACAUCAGCAGAGUGGGACUAACCAAUCUCACGCUGAACUACCUCAGACUGUGUAUGAUUCUUGAGCCAAUGCAGGAGCUGAUGUCAAGGCACAAAACAUACGGCUUGAGUCCCAGAGACUGCCUGAAGACCUGCCUCUUUCACCAGUGGCAAAGAAUGACAACACCACCAGUCGGACCUUCACCCAACUUUAAGACAGAAAUUUUUCAGUCAAGUUCCAAAAAAUCCGAAGCAACCAAACCAACAGCAAAGAGAAGAAGAAGGCGGAACUCGGCUGGCAGCGCAUCCAAUAGCAGCGCAGGAAACAGUAAGAAACGCAGCCCAGCCAACAACUUCAGUUUGCCCACGCAGCCCAAACGCGUCGCCGGUGAAUCGAGGGGUGGCGGGUGGCUGGAGGCGGAGCUUAGCUUUCUCUCUCUCUCUCUUUCUCAUCCACCCCCUCCUUUACCCCCCCUUCUCUCUCUUUCUCUUCCUUUCUCUCUCUCUCUCUCUCUCUCUCUCUCUCUCUCUCUUUCUCUCUCUCUUUCUCUCUCUUCUAAUUUAAUUCAGAGCAGCAUUAUUGGAAUGACCAUACCAAGAUACAUUAUUACAUUAUUCUGUAUUCCGCUAUAUUUGUCCAUUUAUCAAAUAAAAUAAUUCGAAAUGACAUUUUACAUCUAUUCUGAUAUACGCAUAUGGAAAUACAUUUCUACACAAAAGAACACAGAGACACACAGAAAUACACACCGCAUGCUGGAAAAAAAAAGCAUUUUUCAAGGCUUCUUGAAAACAGUUGAAGAUUCAGACCAUUCCUAAAGGGGCUGUAUGUAAGGGAAGGGAAAAGGACGUCGGAACAAAAUUCGCUCUUCGGAUACUAUUAAAACGUUCACGGUAUUUAUGAAUAAGCAAGUUUAGUUUACUUGCCUGGAUCGGAUCCUCGAUGUAGGAUGAGAGGUAUGAAUAAAUUCAUGACAUUUGUGCCAUUUUAUCCUAAAAUAAAAUACAGCAUUUAUUUUCGGUAGAUUUUGAAAAUUCUCUAGGUAUAGGCUCUAGACUGCCAUUAAGUUAUUGCCUAUAGUGUAAUAUAUAAUAAAUCACUGAAGAAGGGUAUAACAUAGAUGGCAUUCUGUGUUUUGGAGGCUUUUAUUUUAUUUAUUUAUUUAUUUAUUUAUUUAUUUAUUUAUUUAUUUAUUUAUUUAUUUAUUUAAAAUGGAAAGAAAACAUAAGCAGUAUGGCUCAUCAUUAAAUAAAUAAAUAAAUUCGCCCAUACAUAAAUAAAUCCAUAAAUAAAUAAAAACGAUACUGCUGAUAUCCCCCGAGUUUCUGCUCUCACCUUCCACGGCAUAUACAUGAUUCAAAAACAUGGCUAAAGUUUGUUUAUCAAAUUAUGAUAAUCUAAUAUGUUAUAAUAAUAUUGCAAUUGCGAAUUUUUUUUUUUUUUAAUAAUAAUAAUUCGUCAGCUCUAGUGCACCCAUGCUGUAUAAUGUACUUUAAUAUUCGUCUAAGCAUUUGUGGCACACCUAAAUAAAUACGUGUAGGACAAAAAAGGAAUUUGCGGAAUAUCUGAUCGGUUCCCUGGCACAAAAGAAAACGGCCAGAUAAAAGCAUUAAGGUAUUGGCUGUGUAUUUAUGCUGUAGUUCCGUAUAUUCAAAGGAUAUGUUGAAAAUACGUACAUCUCUACACUGAGGAUUGAAAUGGACAUGAGCAGCAUGCGAUCGAUUGGUUCAGCGUGAUUCGUUCGGUCCGAGUUAAAGACGACGCUGUGUAUUUUGUAGCUGCGUGAGAACGUUUCUCGUUGUCAGGAUAUGCAGCAAACUUUCUUUUAGUCACACUUUUUCUCCAUUUUUCUCUGCCUCCUUCUUUGUUUUUGUAUAUCUCCUUUCUGUGCCUCCCUCCCCCUCACUAUCCCCUUCUCUCUCUCUCUCUCUCUCUCUCUCUCUCUCUCUUUCUCUCUCUCAUAUGCCUCCCUUCUCUCAUUAAAUUCAAUUCAAUGCCAUGUAUCUUUACUGCUUACUGUACCAAUAUUAAGUCUAAUCAUAUAAUCUGAUAUUUUACACACAUCCCAAACUGAGAAUACAGGAAUAUAUUCAUCACAGAGACUAUGUAAUGACUGCUCCUGUAAUCUCAGUGUGCCCACACACUUUUAUGAUGUGAUGGUGGUGGGGGAGCCCUCUCUGAUGGGAGCCGAGUUGGGAGACGUGGACGAGCGUCUGAUCACCAGGCUGGAGAACGAGCAGUACGACCCUGCUGGCGGUCUCCGGGACGACGGUCGCCAUGACUACACCA
Molecule: RNA transcript, 2961 nt
Organism: Hemibagrus wyckioides
Lineage: Eukaryota; Metazoa; Chordata; Actinopteri; Siluriformes; Bagridae
Gene: ldb2b
Gene name: LIM domain binding 2b
Exons: 11
Source: RefSeq, a predicted model, not a curated record